AUGGCCUCUGAAUUGAUUGGGUCGGCCCUGCUAGGAACUAUAUCUCGUGAGACAAAUGUCUCAUAACAACAAAGGCAGAUUCAGAAUAAUCCUCUACCUCCACAAACUUAGCAAAGCUAGAUUAACAAGUCUAGGAUCCUUCACCCUUAAGCCAUCACCUUUUUAUCCUUACGCACAUCCGCCCACUUCACCCAAGAAACCUUGCUACACCUUUAUGACCCCUUAGAGAAACCACUUAUGCAAACCUCCAAAUUUCUACCACACCGAAAACAUGCAUCUUCAUGAAUGGAAAAAAGAACACGGUGGUAGAGUUCAACACCGAGUUCAAC
Molecule: long non-coding RNA, 329 nt
Filed under: Lathyrus oleraceus (garden pea)
Lineage: Eukaryota; Viridiplantae; Streptophyta; Magnoliopsida; Fabales; Fabaceae
Description: Pisum sativum (pea) long non-coding RNA (PSAT_LNC030854)
Source: RNAcentral